Molecule: small RNA, 28 nt
Filed under: Bombyx mori (domestic silkworm)
Lineage: Eukaryota; Metazoa; Arthropoda; Insecta; Lepidoptera; Bombycidae
Description: ovarian small RNA-12155
Source: RNAcentral
AGCUUGUCUGAUCCCGACUUGAAGAUGC